GGAGGGUGAAUGAAGCGAGGAGGAGGCGGCGGCGGCGGGGGAGGCGGCGCUGGCGCUGGGAUGUGCCCGGCAGCAGCCCCGCUUCUCUUCACUCAGGGCCCAGGCCGGCUGCAGACGCCACCCGUGAAAAGGUCAAGAAAAGCAGUAGCUCAGUGGCUGAAUUUUUCUGAAGUGCUUUACAGCAGGGAAAGUGGGGAAACCUCUUAAAGUGGCGUCUUAUUCAGUAAGUUAAACCCUUUUUCCUUCAGUUAAUUAAUUAAUUAAUUUUCUUUAAAUUUUUUCAAAUCCUAUGUAUCAGAAUAAUUAUAGUUACUUAGAAGGUGUCCCCAGGAAGGUGUGAAUCCUCAUCGCUACCGUGGCUUUCCCCCUCCCCCAGUAGUCUUUGCCAAAUGAAACCUGUCAGCCCACUUUGGCAGAUACAGAAGUGUGCAGCUGACUCAAACCCUACCACAACGUGACUGUCCCUCUGCCCCUGCUGGGGCUGGUCGCUGCAUUCCUGUUCAGAGAUGUGCCCCAUCGAGUGUGCGCCUCUUUCUUCAGCACUUACCCUGCAUGUGUGUGUGUGCACCCACACACUUCAGCUGUGCCCCCCCCCC
RNAcentral lists this long non-coding RNA (596 nucleotides) under Lonchura striata (white-rumped munia). Its description in RNAcentral is "domestica (Bengalese finch) lncRNA (ENSLSDG00000010652.1)". Lineage: Eukaryota; Metazoa; Chordata; Aves; Passeriformes; Estrildidae. The record is from RNAcentral.